This 188-nucleotide non-coding RNA is filed under the name Paramoeba aestuarina. Lineage: Eukaryota; Discosea; Flabellinia; Dactylopodida; Paramoebidae. The record is from RNAcentral.
GAAAACGACACGGAACGGGGCGACUAGUGUGGCUCUCAGGGACAACUUACACUGGGGGGUGGGAAGAUGACAAAUUGAGUGGGUAUGGAACCCUUCAAUGGAAAAGUGGCAUGCAAUACCAAGGCGAGUGGAAAGAAAGUAAACUUCAUGGCCGAGGGACACUAAUUUGGCAGAAUGGAAGGAAAUAU